CCUACGGGUGGCAGCAGUGAGGAAUAUUGGUCAAUGGCCGGAAGGCUGAACCAGCCAUGCCGCGUGAAGGUCAGUGCCCUAUGGGCGUUAAACUUCUUUUGUGCGGGAGCAAUAAUGGUCACGUGUGGCCAGACGAGAGUACCGUACGAAUAAGCAUCGGCUAACUCCGUGCCAGCAGCCGCGGUAAUACGGGGGAUGCAAGCGUUAUCCGGUUUUAUUGGGUUUAAAGGGUGCGUAGGCUGGGGGGUAAGUCAGCGGUGAAAUGCCCCCGCUCAACGGGGUGAAGUGCCAUUGAUACUGCCUUGCUGGAAUGCGGAUGCCGUGGGAGGAAUGUGUGGUGUAGCGGUGGAAUGCAUAGAUAUCACACAGAACACCGAUUGCGAAGGCAUCUCACGAAUCCGCGAUUGACGCUGAUGCACGAAAGCGUGGGUAUCAAACAGGAUUAGAUACCCUAGUAGUC
Molecule: ribosomal RNA, 460 nt
Filed under: uncultured bacterium
Lineage: Bacteria
Description: partial 16S ribosomal RNA
Rfam family: Bacterial small subunit ribosomal RNA
Source: RNAcentral